Molecule: unclassified non-coding RNA, 199 nt
Filed under: uncultured Rectipilus
Lineage: Eukaryota; Fungi; Basidiomycota; Agaricomycetes; Agaricales; Cyphellaceae
Description: sequence contains ITS2
Source: RNAcentral
AAUUCUCAAACCUGCUGGUCUUUAUUGACUAUGUUAGGCUUUGGAUGUGGGAGUUGCUGGCCUAACGGUCGGCUCUCCUUAAAUGCAUUAGUGGCUUGUCGAUCCCCAUUCACUUGGUGUGAUAGUAAUAUCUACAUUGAGGAUGGCUAGGUCAUGCUAUGACAACUGCUUUCUAACUGUCCUUUGGACAAUUUGAACC